Molecule: long non-coding RNA, 1831 nt
Organism: Xiphias gladius (swordfish)
Lineage: Eukaryota; Metazoa; Chordata; Actinopteri; Istiophoriformes; Xiphiidae
Exons: 3
Source: RefSeq, a predicted model, not a curated record
CCUGCACCUUCAUCUGCAGGUAACAAGACUGGGAGCACAUGCGGCAAACAUUUAGGAUUAUAAAUCAGCGUCUGACGGGGUCGGAGUGAAGGCGAGCUAAUUUCGACUUUGGCCUCUUGGAGGAGGAGAGACGCCCACGCUUUGGUUUGAACCGCCUGAACUACAGGAGGAAACGAAGAAAUGCCCGUUCUUGAAAAGCCUGCUCUCGGGGUCCCUGAUUUGCACUUUGAUUCGAGCACCGCUGGGAAAAGCAGAUUUCAUCAAAGUUGUUUCCUGAAUAAAAAAUGAGGGCGUUUAUUUCGCGGCACCGACGGCUGACUUGGCGCUCAGGCUGAGCGACGGAUCCGUGGGAGCGAGAAAUGUGACAAACACCAACAUAACCAGCUCUGAUUUUAUUCAACAACUACAGCGGAUUUAUGGGAAUCUGAAGUUUGCAAAGAGGACGAGGAGGGGAGGCAACCGCAUCAACAGAGAGUCACAGAUUGUAGCCGGGCAGUCAAACAUUUGUGCUCCUUUUCUUUCCCUCAGUUCUCAGUGACUGAAUCUACCAUCCUCCAUCCAUGAAAAACAGACAGAAUUCUGUGGGAAAUCCUCAAAUCCUGCCGCAUGCAGUCUGUUUGCGAUAGUCCUGCCUGUCUGCGGACCCUUUUGACUGAGCUCUGUGACUUUCAAACAAGACGCAUCGCCAGUCACGGUUGCCGGUCGUCAACACGCUCGCCAGCUCGUGACUUCGUCAGGAGCUCAGCGGCCAGAGAGACGCUAGACGUCAGAGCAGCAAUUAAAGAUGUGACACAGCCAACAGGGACCAAGCGCUGAUACUUGAAUCUGAGCCCCCCCAACAAAAAAUCCCUCUUCUGCAAGAAAACAAGAAGCUGCUUGUCGGUGGAGUCAAAACUGCAGGUUGUUCUCUCUCCACAUCAACAGCAGGCUCACAUGCCCCGUUAGCACCUGCAACCUCUUCUUCGUGAGCUGAACGAAAGAAAUACAUGAGACCUUUCAUUUUUUAUUUUAGGUGAAGUAUUUAUCCGUUAAUCUGCCUAUAACCUGUUGGCUUUUAUUCUGAGUGUCCGAGAAGGGCCUGCAUGGUAUAAUGCAAUAUAAUACAAUGACAACAUCUGAUGAGCAUCUGUGUGAAUGUGUGUGAAUAUCUCCAUUGAAGCGGUGCCAUGGUCUGAAAAAGCUGGGGAAGGAUUGAGUUAAGCGGCACGUUAAGAGCCUGGUAAUAUUCCGGGAUUAGUAACCUCCCAGUUUAGUGGAAACCGGUUGCCAGGAAUGAGCGGCUACAACAAUCAACUGACGACUCGAAUCUUUAGUCUGUGCUUCAGCUCCAGCUUGUCCGGUCCUGGGGCACGAAUUAUAACCUCCUCACUGUGCGUGUGGUUGAGAGAGAGAGAGAAAACGUUUUUAAGAUGAAAUUUAAACCUAAACACGUGUUAAAAAGUAUUUAGGAAAUAUUCGAUUUCCGGAAACGUGCCCUGAAAUGAUUAAAUACUGCAUCUGUAAGCCUGCUGGUCACUUUUUUCCUCACCGAGCUAAACGCUGCAUGCGGGGCUCAUUGCCUCAAGUUUUCUAUACACUCGUUAUCAUUUCAAACAUAAUCCAGAACAACAGACAGUAAGAGCCAGUGAGCGGAAAGAGCGUUUUAAUCUGAGUGGCUGCCGAGUCAGACUGUCGGGGAGCAGGAGCGUCUGCAGAGUUCCCUCUUGUUUCCCGCUGCUUCCUGGCUGUUUGGAUCCAAACAGGGGUCGGAGGUCAGGUAUCUGACGACCCUCCUCCUUCCUGUCCGCUCGCCAGCCGUCCGCUGAUUGGAGGCUGCCGAUGCGUAAUAAUA